CAGAAGCACAGCAUCUGUGAAGCUUUCGGAAAUUAUCCCUCUGGCUCCAGCCCUUUCUAGAGAUCUCCACGCACAUCUCUGCAUGAAGGUUUCAGAGUCACUGGAUUUCCCAGGGCCUUCUCUUUGCUAGGAAUGUCUGAGACGCGCUCUGCAAGAUGAGUUGGCAGCAUCUCUGUGCCUCUGGUUUUGCCAGGCUCCACCAACAUCCCGCUAAGAACUCUUCACCCUCAAGUGCACUGAGGGGAACCCCAGUGAAGGCCAAUGAGGGAAACCACACAUCACUGAGGGCCGACGGAGGCCCCCAAAGCUCAGAUCGCUGUGCUCGCCAGUAGGUCCCCAGACACCCUUAACACAGCUAUCUGCAGGAUUGAAUGAUUGCUGGGACCACACAAUUUACACUUGGCUCUCGUGGUCCGGAGGGGAGGACUGCGCCAGCAUGAGAAGACCAGAGAGCAAGUAAAUGGAAAUUUGGCGAGAUCCUGUGGCUGCUGUUGGUGGCUGCAGCCAGACAGGAAAACUGAGAUGGUGUGAGCAGAAAGGGCUGGAAGGAGUUGGCUUUUUCCAAGAAAUUACAGCGGAAUCUUCUUCCAAGAGGCUGGGGGCCUCUGCAGACAUGAUCUCAUUACUUACCCCCCAAAUCCCCCAGCUUCCCUACGG
Molecule: long non-coding RNA, 657 nt
Filed under: Homo sapiens (human)
Lineage: Eukaryota; Metazoa; Chordata; Mammalia; Primates; Hominidae
Description: HSALNT0158246
Source: RNAcentral